Molecule: long non-coding RNA, 255 nt
Filed under: Fukomys damarensis (Damara mole-rat)
Lineage: Eukaryota; Metazoa; Chordata; Mammalia; Rodentia; Bathyergidae
Description: lncRNA (ENSFDAG00000027409.1)
Source: RNAcentral
UUGAAAUAAUUUCAAAAAAGAAAACUGUAACAGAAGAUGGGAUAAGACCUAUUUUACAGAAGAAGCAGGCACAGAGAGGAAGUGUUUGGAGACCUGUGCUCUCGUGACGAACAAGCAAGGACGUGAACGAUACUCUGGGAGCCAAAGCCACACAUUUCCGGUCCCUGUAACUGCAGCCCAGCCACGUGCCACCCUUGGGAGAGACACAGUUCUGUGUCACAGGAAGGACUAAGGUGACCGUCACCGCGCACUAAC